CACUACUAUCACCACCACUCAAAAAGACAUAUAUCUUCUACGCAUACACCUACGCAAACACAUGGAUCACUACAUACUGUCCCUACCUCAGUCAAAAACAAGCCAACACACACCUCCAGUGGAGAUCACUUAUUUUCCUACACACAACAAAUGGUGUCCAGUAACAGCGCUGGAUUCCUACCUUUCACUUACCCCAUCAACGCCAUUGCUACACCUAUUUUCACUCAAAGGCUCUGUACUCACUACUACGACUUUCAUGCGAUACAUCAGAUCUCUGUUAACCAUGCUAGGUCUUAACCCUUCACUCUACUCAGGUCACUCCUUCUGCAUAGGGGCGGCUUCCACAGCUUCCAGCACAAACAUACUGGUACAUAUCAUUAAGUCAUUAGGGCGGUGGAAGUCAUCCGCCUACACAACCUACAUACCAAAAC
Pelobates cultripes (western spadefoot toad) is the source of this 431-nucleotide non-coding RNA. Lineage: Eukaryota; Metazoa; Chordata; Amphibia; Anura; Pelobatidae. The record is from the annotation of a GenBank genome assembly.